GACGAACCGUGCGAACGUUGUUCGGAAUCACUGGGCUUAAAGGGCGUGUAGGCGGUCAGGUAAGUGGGAUGUGAAAUGCCCCGGCUCACCCUGGGACCGGCAUCCCAUACUGCUUGGCUUGAGUACGGGAGAGGAUGUGGGAAUUCCUGGUGUAGCGGUGAAAUGCGUAGAUAUCAGGAGGAACACCGGUGGCGAAGGCGGGUCUCUGGGCAGUAACUGACGCUGAGGAGCGAAAGCGUGGGGAGCGAACAGG
This 253-nucleotide ribosomal RNA is filed under the name uncultured bacterium. Its description in RNAcentral is "partial 16S ribosomal RNA". It matches the Rfam family "Bacterial small subunit ribosomal RNA", at positions 524 to 776 of the family's 1533-position model. The record is from RNAcentral.